UGGUGCGGUCCGCCUCUGGUG
This 21-nucleotide unclassified non-coding RNA is filed under the name Chlamydomonas reinhardtii. Its description in RNAcentral is "small RNA Cre_3469". Lineage: Eukaryota; Viridiplantae; Chlorophyta; Chlorophyceae; Chlamydomonadales; Chlamydomonadaceae. The record is from RNAcentral.